GAUGAACGCUAGCUACAGGCUUAACACAUGCAGGUCGAGGGGAAACGACAUCGAAAGCUUGCUUUUGAUGGGCGUCGACCGGCGCACGGGUGAGUAACGCGUAUCCAACCUGCCCAUCACUUGGGAAUAACCUUGCGAAAGUAAGACUAAUACCCAAUGAUAUCCCACGAAGGCAUCGGAAUGGGAUUAAAGAUUUAUCGGUGAUGGAUGGGGAUGCGUCUGAUUAGCUUGUUGGCGGGGUAACGGCCCACCAAGGCAACGAUCAGUAGGGGUUCUGAGAGGAAGGUCCCCCACAUUGGAACUGAGACACGGUCCAAACUCCUACGGGAGGCAGCAGUGAGGAAUAUUGGUCAAUGGGCGAGAGCCUGAACCAGCCAAGUAGCGUGCAGGAAGACGGCCCUAUGGGUUGUAAACUGCUUUUAUAAGGGAAUAAAGUGGGUCACGUGUGACUUUUUGCAUGUACCUUAUGAAUAAGGACCGGCUAAUUCCGUG
RNAcentral lists this ribosomal RNA (492 nucleotides) under uncultured bacterium. RNAcentral's name for it is "partial 16S ribosomal RNA". It matches the Rfam family "Bacterial small subunit ribosomal RNA", at positions 28 to 507 of the family's 1533-position model. The record is from RNAcentral.